RNAcentral lists this ribosomal RNA (748 nucleotides) under anaerobic methanogenic archaeon E15-2. RNAcentral's name for it is "bacterial SSU rRNA". It matches the Rfam family "Archaeal small subunit ribosomal RNA", at positions 132 to 881 of the family's 1478-position model. The record is from RNAcentral.
CCGGGAAACUGGGUAUAAUACCCGAUAGGUCUCGAUUGCUGGAAUGCAUCGAGAUUUAAAGCUCCGGCGCCUAAGGAUGGGUCUGCGGCCUAUCAGGUAGUAGUGGGUGUAGCGUACCUACUAGCCUACGACGGGUACGGGUUGUGAGAGCAAGAGCCCGGAGAUGGAUUCUGAGACACGAAUCCAGGCCCUACGGGGUGCAGCAGGCGCGAAAACUUUACAAUGCUGGCAACAGCGAUAAGGGAACCUCGAGUGCCAGGUUACAAAUCUGGCUGUCGAGAUGCCUAAAAAGCAUUUCAUAGCAAGGGCCGGGCAAGACCGGUGCCAGCCGCCGCGGUAACACCGGCGGCUCGAGUGGUAACCGUUAUUAUUGGGUCUAAAGGGUCUGUAGCCGGCCGGAUAAGUCUCUUGAGAAAUCUGGCAGCUUAACUGUCAGGCUUUCAGGAGAUACUGUCUGGCUCGAGGCCGGGAGAGGUGAGAGGUACUUCAGGGGUAGGGGUGAAAUCUUGUAAUCCUUGAAGGACCACCAGUGGCGAAGGCGUCUCACCAGAACGGACCUGACGGCAAGGGACGAAAGCUAGGGGCACGAACCGGAUUAGAUACCCGGGUAGUCCUAGCCGUAAACGAUACUCGCUAGGUGUCGGCCACGGUGCGACCGUUGUCGGUGCCGUAGGGAAGCCGUGAAGCGAGCCACCUGGGAAGUACGGCCGCAAGGCUGAAACUUAAAGGAAUUGGCGGGGGAGCACAA